UACGUAGGCAGCAAACGUUGUUCGGAAUUACUGGGCGUAAAGAGUGUGUAGGCGGUUCUGCAAGUUUGGUGUGAAAUCUCCCGGCUUAACUGGGAGGGUGCGCCGAAAACUGCAAAGCUAGAGUACUGGAGAGGAAAGCGGAAUUCCAGGUGUAGCGGUGAAAUGCGUAGAUAUCUGGAGGAACACCGGUGGCGAAGGCGGCAUCCUGGACCGGUAUUGACGCUGAGGCGCGAAAGCUAGGGGAGCAAACGGG
This 253-nucleotide ribosomal RNA is filed under the name uncultured bacterium. Its description in RNAcentral is "partial 16S ribosomal RNA". It matches the Rfam family "Bacterial small subunit ribosomal RNA", at positions 524 to 776 of the family's 1533-position model. The record is from RNAcentral.